Molecule: ribosomal RNA, 253 nt
Filed under: uncultured bacterium
Lineage: Bacteria
Description: partial 16S ribosomal RNA
Rfam family: Bacterial small subunit ribosomal RNA
Source: RNAcentral
UACAGAGGGUGCGAGCGUUAAUCGGAUUUACUGGGCGUAAAGGGCGCGUAGGCGGUUCCAUGAGUGUGAUGUGAAAGCCCUGGGCUUAACCUAGGAAGUGCAUCGCAAACGAUGGAACUGGAGUAUAUGAGAGGGUGGCGGAAUUUCCGGUGUAGCGGUGAAAUGCGUAGAGAUCGGAAGGAACGUCGAUGGCGAAGGCAGCCACCUGGCAUAAUACUGACGCUGAGGAGCGAAAGCGUGGGGAUCAAACAGG